AAUGAAGUAAAACAAGGGAAGUAAAAAUGUUUGGGCUCAUAACCCGAAGGUCACAGGUUCAAAUCCUGUCCCCGCUACCA
This 80-nucleotide transfer RNA is filed under the name Desulforhopalus sp. IMCC35007. RNAcentral's name for it is "tRNA-Met". The stretch from base 15 to 77 matches the Rfam family "tRNA". Rfam says of the family: Transfer RNA (tRNA) molecules are approximately 80 nucleotides in length. The record is from RNAcentral. Lineage: Bacteria; Pseudomonadati; Thermodesulfobacteriota; Desulfobulbia; Desulfobulbales; Desulfocapsaceae.